CAACAUGUCCUUUGAGUGGUCCCUAAAAUAAUACCAUUAGCGGGUCGCAUUAAGGCUGCUUAUCUCUGGCGGAGCCUGCUGAUAAUGCCGAGCGAGCAGGUCCUCCUGGAAUGCUGGGGCCCGGAUAGAGAAGUGCCUGAGAGCCCCUGAUGAACGGGCAGGCCUUGGCAUCCGUUGUCCCGAUGACGAUGACAUUCCAUCGGGUUUGACACCUGCUCCCGCAGCACUAAGUUGGCAGAGUCAGAGUGGGCGCACCUGGUAUGUGACAGACACUUUGAACCAUUUUGCAGUCUGCCUGCAUGGCUGGGGCUGUGAGGUCGAGGGACAUCCAGGGGCUGCCUCAUGGUGCAGUCGUGGUCCAGCUGUGCUGGUCAGGGGUGCUUUGCUUCAGCAUCGCCAUCGCGCCCACCCGCAGCGUCUCCUGGCCGUGGCUGGCGUUCAUUCGGUUUUUCCCAGCCGUGAUUAGGAAAUAAGGAAGGGCGUACGGGAAGAGGAGAGGCACCGCCCAGAAAGCGGCUCUUCUUGCUGGACACUGUGAACAUUUGCCAGACUUACCCGUGGGUGUCUCUCCCAUGUCAACAAAGCUUAUCCUUCGUCUCUGUAACCUAUUCCCCUGACGCACUGUAUCACAGAGUCCCCACGUCAUAGAGCAGGCUAGCUUCAAACAUAACAGCCUCCUGCCUCAGCCUCCCAGGCACUGCGAUCGACUUCUGAGUGAACACGUAUAAGCCUCCAAUAUUUCCAUCCCCUGUUUCGGUUCUGAUGCGUGAAAAUUAUUUUUGAACCUCAUAAAAGAGAUGGGAUGACACAAUAAGUUAAUAUGUACAGUACUCAGAGGUGAGCCUGGUUCAGAGAGAGCGCCAUGUGAAGUUGACAGCACCUUCAUCAGCACCAAAAUCACUUUUACCACCAUCAUCACCAUCACCAACACCCUUUCUGUCAUCAUCAUCACCACCAUCUGCAUCUCCCUCACCCGGCACUCUCCACACGUGUACCACAAUUCAACGGAUUUGGGGCAAGGGAGUUUAUUCUCAAAAACCGAAGAGGCAGCUGGGCUGAAUGAAGAGCACCGCUGAAGGCAGAGCCUGAUGCACCAUGGGAGCUUGGGGCCUUUUGCUGAGAAGCCAUUGAGAAUGUUGAGACCUCACUAGGACCUUUAAGCUGCAGCCCGGCAUCUGGAAGACAGAGGCAGGAGGAUGAGAAGUUCAAGGCAUCGUCAGCUGCAGUGCAUGUUCAAAGCCAUUCAGGGCCACACGAGAUCCUAAGUAGAAGAAUUUUAUGCAGUGCUUGGAGUUCCGUGAGGGUAAAGACUGCACCCACAGGCUGCCCCUGGAUCCAACCAAUUCUAUCUCAAAUAGCUGGCAUCUGUCACGCAGUGGCAAUGUAUAGGGUUAUGCCAGACUCUGAACAACCCAUCCUGAUGGUUACCUCUAAGAAUGUCUGACUCUUGUCUGCCUGCCCCAGGGCCACACUGUGCAUCGUGGGGACUCAGCAAGACCUCUGGCUUCCACCUAACACAUGCCUUCUCCCAACCUGAGAGUCCUCUGCUGUGGAGGGGAUUCGAGGACCAGCGGACAUCGUAAAAGGCGAAAGGUUUUGUCCAAAAUGUAAAAUCCUCAUGUAAAGACAUUGGUCCUUUGCUGUCUCCUCGGGAGCCCAGAGACCAGUCAGGCUCUGCGAGUAUUUUGAGAAGAAAUGAAUGAAUAAAUGAAGCUCAAUCUUCAGGCAUAGACACUCCCAUCUCUCCCCAAAGCAUUCCACCUCCAUCCUGGGACCCCCUUUGCAGCCAGUCCCUGGGCGUCUCCCCUCCCAUAUUUUCAUCCCCCCACACCCUCUGUCUGGCUCAGAUUACUGUUUGCUGCCAGCCAGCCACCCGCAGACAGCAAACGUGGACCAGCUGUGCCGCAGGAAGCCACCCGCACCUCAACAGGAUGGCUCAGGAUGUCUUCAGUUAGCCUAAAUCGUCUCUGAAAGUUCGCGUUUUCCCUUUGUGUAAAAUGCCUAUCAUUAAUUCGGACUUGGAGAUCAAAGAGUUAACAACGCGUUGAUCCUCUCUUACUUCCAAGUGAUAUAUAAGAAUUCCAGAGACUCUCUGACAAAUGCUCCUGGGUCAGUGAGCAGAGGCCCAGUGGGGACCUUGGAAGGAAGCCGACCUGCCCAAGGCUUCCGGUUGCCGGUUGCGGGUACCUCAUUCCUAUACUUCUCCCCGAACACUGCCUUUUUUCUCUUGCUUUCUCCUCUUUCAACCAAAGGAAACAAGCGUCUCUAAUUCAUCACUUUGUGCGGCAUCAGAAGUAGGCUGGGAAAUAAAAAGGCUUCAUUGAGCAGCA
This is a long non-coding RNA of Mus musculus (house mouse), 2330 nucleotides long. RefSeq annotates it as predicted gene, 36254. NCBI's taxonomy places the organism in Eukaryota, Metazoa, Chordata, Mammalia, Rodentia, Muridae. The transcript has 4 exons. The record is from RefSeq and is a predicted model, not a curated record.